Molecule: small RNA, 103 nt
Filed under: Algibacter pectinivorans
Lineage: Bacteria; Pseudomonadati; Bacteroidota; Flavobacteriia; Flavobacteriales; Flavobacteriaceae
Description: Flavo-1 RNA
Source: RNAcentral
CACCUGCCUUAGCGAUUGAAACGGCAUCAGUUUAAAUAGAAAAAACUGCCUUUUACGGCAGUUUUUUUUUAUUUAAAAGUUAUAAUGGAAAGCGCGACCCAUU